UACAGAGGGGGCGAGCGUUAUUCGGAUUUAUUGGGCGUAAAGCGCUCGUAGGCGGUUUGGUAAGUCGGGUGUGAAACCUCCAGGCUCAACCUGGUGACGCCACCCGAUACUGCUAUGACUUGAGUUCGGUAGGGGAGCGGGGAAUUCCUGGUGUAGCGGUGAAAUGCGCAGAUAUCAGGAGGAACACCGGUGGCGAAGGCGCCGCUCUGGGCCGAAACUGACGCUGAGGAGCGAAAGCGUGGGGAGCGAACAGG
Molecule: ribosomal RNA, 254 nt
Filed under: uncultured bacterium
Lineage: Bacteria
Description: partial 16S ribosomal RNA
Rfam family: Bacterial small subunit ribosomal RNA
Source: RNAcentral